Molecule: long non-coding RNA, 1290 nt
Organism: Astatotilapia calliptera (eastern happy)
Lineage: Eukaryota; Metazoa; Chordata; Actinopteri; Cichliformes; Cichlidae
Source: Ensembl
CAGCUGUAGUAAUCGUCAACAGCAGGUGUGUUCGGGGAACCGGAUUAGCGAGCUCACGGUUAGCGCGAUGAUUUGAUCUUGGAUGUGUCAUUUGAUCUUGGAUGUAGUAAGCGACGUACGAAGAACGGGCCCCUGAACAGUCAUUUAAGAUCAGCUAGUAAACAACAAUUAGCUGAUGUUGUUCAUGAGACUAAAGUCAUCUCACUGUGGCUUUGAAGCUUGUGUCGAGUAAUGGAGGGGGCGUUUCCGCGAUGCGCGUAUCGAGGCUUGCUUCAUUUAUGGGAGGAGCUGAAAAUGAUGACGUCCGAAGCCUCGCUGCCCGGCUGUACCACGUGACUGGUUCAUGAAGUGGUUUGAACUUUGCCGCGAGAUAUGACAGCGAUAUAAACCCUCAGACUUCAUUCAAAAUGUGGGUGUUUGAUGGAGAGUUGUUAGUGAGAGUUUGGAGACAGUUUGGAGGUUUAUGAGAGUGAGGAGAGAAAGUCAGGAGAGAAUGGAGCCAGCUAAGAAGAGGAGGAUGUCCUCCCCUGUGUGGGAACAUUUUGAUCUUAUUCCUCCCAACAAGGUAUGUAAAUUUCUACAGAAGAUGUAUUUUCAUGAUACUGAUGGUGCAAUACAAUUUAUGUUGAGCUGUCUGUACUUUUGUACAAGGUGAAGUGUUUGCUAUGUGCCAGGCAGCUGGGAUAUAACAACACCUCAUCCAUGCUUAGGCACUACAGAGCUUUGCAUGAGAAUAAGGGGGACACCGAUUGUGGAGCAAGACCAGGAGAACAAUCUCCAAUAGAUGAAGACCUGGUUAGCAACAAUGCUAGUGCUAGCGGCGCUAACGGCUGCAGACAGGAAGAUACUGCCAGCACCGGAAACGUGCUCGUCAUCUCCGAGCAUGAAGUAAGGAGAGCCUUCAAGAGAGUGAACACCAGGAAAGCAGCAGGACCAGACGGCAUCCCAGGUCGUAUCCUCAGAGACUGCGCAUACCAGCUAGCUCCUGUGUUCACUGAGAUAUUCAACAUCUCUUUAUCUCAGUCGGUGAUCCCCACAUGCUUCAAAGAGUCCAUCAUUGUUCCUGUCCCGAAGAAACCCCACCCUGCUUCUCUCAAUGACUAUCGCCCUGUAGCCCUCACCUCAGUAGUGAUGAAGUGCUUUGAACGCCUGGUCAGAGACUUCAUCAUUUCUUCACUACCAGACACACUGGACCCACUACAGUUCGCUUACCGUCCAAAUCGUUCCACAGACGAUGCCAUCUCUCAUCUCCUCCACACAUCACUCACUCACUUGGACACUAGAAGGGGG